Molecule: long non-coding RNA, 910 nt
Filed under: Nicotiana benthamiana
Lineage: Eukaryota; Viridiplantae; Streptophyta; Magnoliopsida; Solanales; Solanaceae
Description: long non-coding RNA (NBEN_LNC017565)
Source: RNAcentral
UUUUGUUUUUGGCUGAUAAGGCAACAAUCAUUUUACGUCUCCAGCCCCCAUAACCACUACCCGAGAAGGGAGUGGGAACAAGGGAGACCCCAGGAACAUAAGAAGAAUAUACAAAAAGGGGACUGGAAGAGUAUACAAAAGAGGAGGCACCAGUAUUUGUGUUAGAAGCCAUGGUCAAUGAACCGGCUUAAACGAACAACUUUUCAACAGGCAGAGUAUAACCAAAAACAGGUAUUCACACACAAUAACCAGCAAACAAAGUAUAACCAAAAACCAAAUCAGGUAUUCACAGAUAACACCAGAUGCUCAUAUACACAGAGUCAGAUAAUCACAUAUAAUACCGAAGAUAAGGACAGAGUUACCCUCCUUCUUCGCGACCGAAGAAGAUCGGCCUUCAAACAACAGAGAAACCCUAGGUAUCAAACCCUAGGCGUAACCUUGGAAAUCCUUACUGGAAAUUUGAUCAGGAACGUCAGAGAGGAACCCAAAACGUCCACUGAGUGAGAAUCGAACAACCGGAUGGCAGUAAAACUUUAGGUUAAACCACCACAAACCCUAGAAGUCGAUAGGUCACCCAAAAAUCAACCAAAAAUCAUCAUAAAAUCUUCCAGAACGUUCAGGAGAAGAAAAUACACUCCGAUAUCACGACGAAAGACUCAGAAAGGUGUCCGAUAGAUCGGAAUCUUCAUCGACCGUGAGGUCUUAGAAAACACCCCCAAAACCUCAAAACAAACUUCAUCCAAGACAAUGAAGUACAUAGAAACAUAGUCGGAUCGUCGUCGAGGCUCUGAUACCAUGUAAACAUUCAUAUUAUAAUAUUUUCAUAACAAAUAGUGCAUUAUUUAGAAGGUUGUUUUGUUUGAUUUUUUCAGCCAAUUAUGUAAACAUUCAUAUUAGACCGAGAAAUCAU